UACCCUUGGCCGGAGGGACAUGCUUGUGAGAGGAGAGAAAGAGAUGAGAGGAGAGGAGAAACACGUCUAUUUCCUGUUAACGAACCUUACAAUUGUGGGAGGAGCCACAGGCGCCGCCACGCUAUAUAAACUGCCUCAGCCCCUGAUCUUUCACUCGCCUCACAUCGUCGGAUGGUAAAAUACCUGCCAUGAUGAGACUGUGGGCACUGACUUACCUGGUGACUGUCUGGAUGACGCAGGUGCUGCCUGGGUCGGGGUCACAGAGACGUAUAAUCAAGAACCUCGAUGUUAGUGAUGACGGCGAGGGCAACGUCCCCUUCGACAUGAAGACUGAUGUUGACAUCGAUGAUACUGUUGAUAUUGAUUCAAGAGGGUUAAGUGGUGUCAUGGAAGGUUUAUAACACCGAUUAAAGUGGGACCAGAGCAAUGUGUAAUUUUCCGACUACAGUCCAGCUGUCAUCUCCAGCAAAAUUGUAAAUUAACUACCACAUCACUGGCGCCCCGCCGCUGAGACCGUGUUUAGUGAUGUAUUAGAAGUACAGUGUAUGCCUGGAGGCCUCACCCAGUAUAAAUAAACAUUUUAUAUACUGACCCUGACUUAAUUUGAAUACUAA
This is a non-coding RNA of Procambarus clarkii (red swamp crayfish), 614 nucleotides long. NCBI's taxonomy places the organism in Eukaryota, Metazoa, Arthropoda, Malacostraca, Decapoda, Cambaridae. The record is from RefSeq and is a predicted model, not a curated record.